UCUAUUGCUCGAUGCGCCGAAUGAAACUGCGACUUUUUGCUCGUUCUCGGCUGAUCGUCAUAGCAACGCGUAAUGAUGUGUUUUUCGAUGUCCGAGGAUGUGACGAGUAUCUAAUAUACUCGUCUGAAGCUGGGCCAGAGACGUGCAGAUGAUGGGGGGUGAUGGAGUACUAGGAUACACAUGUUCGGUACACUGAUCAUUUCUCAUUUUCGUGGUCUUUUCCUCGAUUCAGGACGCUUGACAGGAUCUAAUCAAAUUGCUUUGAUGGGUUCAAUUAUAUAGCUCUUCUGCUCUUCCCCCACGUUGACCGAUCUGUUGGCCGCUUUCUUCCCCUUAUCCACCAACCUGUUUCUUUAAAAGAAAUAUAUAUUGCGUUUUUAUUAAAGAUUACUAUCCUACGGAUACCAUCUUUAUUAUCGUUUCAUUCCAUCUACUUUCGAUCGUUGCUGGCUAAGCCAUUUCCUAUUAAGCUAUUUCGGUUUUUAGUUGUAUCAAAUCUUAGGAUGUUUGAACAUGACGUUAGAAAUUAAGUGGACAAGUAAUUUAAGAGAUGUUUAACGGGUUAUGAUUUAAUGGCUUAAUGGCUUUCGGCUAGGAGCUAGGCUCUAUUGAUUUUUCUUUUAAGAGAUUACAAAACUUGCCAUCCUUAUAAAUUGUAUUGGAAUAUUCAUUAUUAUGUAUUAAUAAAUGUCCAGCCCAGGAUGAAGUAACAUCACAUGCAGAAUUGAUUGAAGGGGGAAUACAUGGUAAACUGUACUGUAGAUAUU
Long non-coding RNA from Daphnia pulex (common water flea), 767 nucleotides. RefSeq lists it as uncharacterized. NCBI's taxonomy places the organism in Eukaryota, Metazoa, Arthropoda, Branchiopoda, Diplostraca, Daphniidae. The record is from RefSeq and is a predicted model, not a curated record. The transcript has 2 exons.